RNAcentral lists this ribosomal RNA (494 nucleotides) under uncultured bacterium. RNAcentral describes it as "partial 16S ribosomal RNA". It matches the Rfam family "Bacterial small subunit ribosomal RNA", at positions 28 to 507 of the family's 1533-position model. The record is from RNAcentral.
GACGAACGCUGGCGGCGCGCUUAACACAUGCAAGUCGAACGGAAAGGCCUGCUUUCCCUUGUGGAUUGCGGGUACUCGAGUGGCGAACGGGUGAGUAACACGUGAGUGAUCUGCCCCCAACUUGGGUAUAAGCCUGGGAAACUGGGUCUAAUUCCCGAUAGGACUGCAGGGUGGUGCCUGUGGUGGAAAACGAUUUUCUAGUGGUUGGGGAUGAGCUCGCGGCCUGUCAGCUUGUUGGUGGGGUAAUGGCCUACCAAGGCGGCGACGGGUAGCCGGCCUGAGAGGGUGGACGGCCACAUUGGGACUGAGAUACGGCCCAGACUCCUACGGGAGGCAGCAGUGGGGAAUAUUGCACAAUGGGCGGAAGCCUGAUGCAGCGACGCCGCGUGGGGGAUGACGGCCUUCGGGUUGUAAACUCCUUUCGACCGCGAGGAAGCCACCUGGUUGGAAGGGUGGUGACGGUAGUGGUAGAAGAAGCACCGGCUAACUACGUG